Molecule: ribosomal RNA, 305 nt
Filed under: uncultured bacterium
Lineage: Bacteria
Description: bacterial SSU rRNA
Rfam family: Bacterial small subunit ribosomal RNA
Source: RNAcentral
UCCUACGGGGGGCAGCAGUGAGGAAUAUUGGUCAAUGGUCGGGAGACUGAACCAGCCAAGCCGCGUGAGGGAUGAAGGUACAGAGUAUCGUAAACCUCUUUUGUCAGGGAACAAAGGCGGGGACGUGUCCCCGGAUGAGUGUACCUGAAGAAAAAGCAUCGGCUAACUCCGUGCCAGCAGCCGCGGUAAUACGGAGGAUGCGAGCGUUAUCCGGAUUUAUUGGGUUUAAAGGGUGCGCAGGCGGUCUGUUAAGUCAGCGGUCAAAGCCCGGGGCUCAACCCCGGCUCGCCGUUGAAACUGGCAGU